This 477-nucleotide long non-coding RNA is filed under the name Homo sapiens (human). RNAcentral describes it as "non-protein coding lnc-TAOK3-1:2". Lineage: Eukaryota; Metazoa; Chordata; Mammalia; Primates; Hominidae. The record is from RNAcentral.
GCUCGGCCUGCAAGGCUGUUGUUUCAAGAAAUGAAAAUGAAGGGCGCCCUGGAAUAGGUUCGCCGAAGAGAGAGCUUGCAGGCCUCUGGGAAGCAAGCCAUCGUGUGGCAGAGGCCCAGGUGGCAAGGAACCAAGGGCGGCUUCUGGCCAACAGCCAGCGAGGACCUGAGACCGUAGCCCAACACCCCUCCAGGAACUGAAUUUUGCCAGCAACCAGUGAGUGACCUUGGAAGUGGAUCCUUCCCCCGAAAGCCCGGCUUUCAGACGGAGGCUGGUGGGACCUCAACCCCAGCUGGUAUCCAGGCUCUUGACACCAUCUGGAGAAGGAAUUCAAGAGUGUGUCAGAAAAUGAUGAAAGUACAAAGAUUUAUUGCAAAGCGAAAAAUACACACUCAAGAAAGGGGAGUAUGGGUGGACUCAAGACAGAGUCCGAUGGGACUUGGGGUUUCUACCUUUUGGGUUUCUUUUUUUUUUUUU